Lonchura striata (white-rumped munia) is the source of this 2031-nucleotide long non-coding RNA. NCBI's taxonomy places the organism in Eukaryota, Metazoa, Chordata, Aves, Passeriformes, Estrildidae. The record is from Ensembl.
CCAUUUUUUCCCAUUUUUCCCAUUUUUCCCAGUUCCCGGGGCGGUUUAACGAGGUGCUGCUCUCGGUGAUCACCUGGGCGGGGAUCCUGGUGGCCCUGCUGUGCCUGGGCCUGUCCAUCUCGGCCUUCUGCUGCCUGCGGGGGCUGCCCUCGGAGCGCACCACCAUCCACAAGAACCUCUGCAUCAGCCUCUUCCUCGCCGAGCUCCUCUUCCUCGUCGGCAUCGACAAGACGCAGUACCAGGUGGGGCGGGCACACCUGGGGCUGCCCUGGCACACCUGGGGCUGCCCUGGCACACCUGGGGCUGCCACUGGCACACCUGGGGCUGCCCUGGCACACCUGGGCUGUCCUUGGCACACCUGGGGCUGUCCUGGCACACCUGGGGCUGCCCUGGCACACCUGGGGCUGCCCUGGCACACCUGGGGCUGUCCUGGCACACCUGGGACACCCCACAGCACACCUGGGACUGUCCUUGGCACACCUGGGGCUGCCCCUGGCACACCUGGGGCUGCCCUGGCACACCUGGGACUGUCCAUGGCACACCUGAGACACACCACAGCACACCUGGGGCUGUCCAUGGCACACCUGGGGCUGUCCUUUGCACACCUGUUACUGUCCUUGCCACACCUGGGGCUGCCCCUGGCACACCUGGGGCUGUCCUUUGCACACCUGGGACUGUCCUUGCCACACCUGGGGCUGUCCCUGGCACACCUGGGGCUGUCCCUGGCACACCUGGGCUGUCCCUGGCACACCUGGGACUGUCCUUGGCACACCUGAGACACCCCACAGCACACCUGGGGCUGCCCCUGGCACACCUGGGACACCUGGGACCCCCAUGGGACCACCCAUCUUGCUGUCCCUGUCCCUGUCCCUGUCCCUGUCCCUGUCCGUGUCCCUGUCCCACCUUUGCACAGUCCCUGUCCCCACACUGUCCCCACGCCAUCCCGCGCUGUCCCCACAGGUGACCUGUCCCACCUUUGGGCUGUCCCCACCCUGUCCCCACGCUGUCCCCACACUGUCCCCACGCUGUCCCCACGCUGUCCCCACGCUGUCCCGCAGGUGGCCUGUCCCACCUUUGGGCUGUCCCCACGCUGUCCCCACGCUGUCCCGCAGGUGACCUGUCCCACCUUUGGCCUGUCCCACCUUUGGGCUGUCCCCACCCUGUCCCCACGCUGUCCCCACCCUGUCCCCACGCUGUCCCCACGCUGUCCCGCAGGUGGCCUGUCCCAUCUUCGCGGGGCUGCUGCACUAUUUCUUCCUGGCGUCGUUCUCGUGGCUGUGCCUGGAGGGGGUUCACCUGUACCUGCUGCUGCUCGAGGUGUUCGACAGUGACCCCGCGCGCCGCAAGUACUACUACGCGGGCGGCUACUGCUUCCCCGCCGUCGUCGUGGCCGUGGCCGCCGCCGUCGACCACCGCAGCUACGGCACCGACCAGGCGUGCUGGCUGCGGGUGGACAAUUAUUUCAUCUGGAGCUUCAUCGGGCCCGUGGCCUUCGUCAUCCUCGUACGGCCGGGCUGGGGGGCUGGGGGGCUGGGGAUGGACCCUCCUCAUCCUCAUCCUCGUCCUCAUCCUCAUCCUCGUCCUCGUCCUCGUCCUCAUCCUCGUCCUCGUCCUCGUCUUCGUCCUUGUCCUCGUCCUCGUCCUCGUCCUCGUCCUCCUCCUCAUCCUCAUCCUCGUCCUCAUCCUCGUCCUCGUCCUCGUCUUCGUCCUUGUCCUCGUCCUCGUCCUCAUCCUCGUCCUCCUCCUCGUCCUUGACCUCGUCCUCCUCCUUGUCCUCGUCCUCAUCCUCGUCCUCAUCCUCGUCCUCGACCUCGUCCUUGUCCUCGUCCUCAUCCUCGUCCUCGUCCUUGUCCUCAUCCUCGUCCUCGACCUCGUCCUUGUCCUCGUCCUCAUCCUCGUCCUCGUCCUUGUCCUCCUCCUCGUCCUCGACCUCGUCCUUGUCCUCGUCCUCAUCCUCGUCCUCGUCCUCGUCCUCGUCCUCAUCCUCAUCCUCAUCCUCAUCCUCCUCCUCAUCCUCCUCCUCAUCCUCAU